UACGUAGGGGGCUAGCGUUGUCCGGAAUCAUUGGGCGUAAAGCGCGUGUAGGCGGCCCGGUAAGUCCGCUGUGAAAGUCGGGGGCUCAACCCUCGGAUGCCGGUGGAUACUGUCGGGCUUGAGUACGGAAGAGGCGAGUGGAAUUCCUGGUGUAGCGGUGAGAUGCGCAGAUAUCAGGAGGAACACCAAUUGCGAAGGCAGCUCGCUGGGACGUUACUGACGCUGAGACGCGAAAGCGUGGGGAGCAAACAAG
Molecule: ribosomal RNA, 253 nt
Filed under: uncultured bacterium
Lineage: Bacteria
Description: partial 16S ribosomal RNA
Rfam family: Bacterial small subunit ribosomal RNA
Source: RNAcentral